Molecule: RNA transcript, 1397 nt
Organism: Cotesia glomerata
Lineage: Eukaryota; Metazoa; Arthropoda; Insecta; Hymenoptera; Braconidae
Exons: 2
Source: RefSeq, a predicted model, not a curated record
AUAAAAAAUAUCACUCCGAUUUAACCAAUUUGCUCAACGGCUUUACAAAAUUCAAUAAAUAAUAAUAAAAUUUAAAUAAAUGAGUGUUGUUUAAAUAUCUAGAUUAAAUAAGUGGUCAUACAUCUUAUUUUUAAAAAUCUUCAAGCUCGCAGAAUCAACAAUAUCAGCAGGCCAUUGCUCCCACAAGCGAAUUACAGUAAUGACAAACAAAUUUUCAUACUGUGUCGUUGUAAAAUUUGGUAACUAAAAGUUGAUAUUGUUUCUCUUGGCUGCCAAUCUUUCUGAGCGUCUAACAGAGUCAUCUUCGAUGAAUAAUUCACGUAAAUACAUUGGUUUUUCGAUAACUAACAAUUUGUAAAAAUAGCAAGCAGCAAAGUAGAUACGACGACUUUUAAUAGAAAGCCAGCCAAGUUCCCGCCUGUAAGGAGUUAUAUGCUCACCUCGUUUUAAGCUAUAGAUAAAGCGCACAGUUGAGUUUAGUGAGCGUUGGAGAUUACGGUUAUUUUCAUAAGUUGAAUUCAUUAAAACAAUGGAGCAAUUAUCGAUUAGAGGCAGAAUGGUUGCUGAGACUAAGACUUUUUUGAUUCUAGUAGUAUAAAUAUUUUUACGAAAUUUUAAGCUAUACAAAGUUGAAUUAAUUUUACUAAUUGUUUUUGAAACAUGAGAAUUCCAAGAGAGGUUAUGCGAUAAAUGGAGACCCAGACACUUUGCUGACUAUGAAAGAAUUCGUUGUUGGUGAACAUAUCACAGAUUGUACGAUGUGUGAACAAAGUAUGACCAAUCAUAUUUGUCAGCCAUGCAACCAUUGGUUUGGAUGCUCUCGGUGUGUGCAAAACAUGCGAGUCUUUCUUGCUCGCGUGCAACCUAAUUUGCGUUGCCCAACUUGCGACAAUGUUAUAGCAUCAUUUGAAAAGAUUUUUUGAAUAUUUUCUGACAUUUAUGAUUUAUUUAAAUACAAAAAAAAAUUUUUAAUAGAAAUUUAUGGAUUAGUUAUUAUUUCUCAAGUUUGUUUAAAGAUUUAUGUGAUUAUAAUAAAGAAAAACAAAUUCCCUUAAAAAAUUUUAUAAUGUUAUUUGAAAUAUUAAUAUUUAAAUGUGAGGUUUUGCUUAGCGUCGUUUUCCAGAUAUUUUUAAAUGGAUAUUAACCCAUGUGACCUAUGAAUUCAAUGUAGUAUAUAAUUAUUUGUUUGAACCACCAGAUGCCUUGGUGAUUGGCUGUUGAUGAAGCAUCCUGAAGGACCUGAUUCUAAUAUCACUAGUUAUUCUUUUUUUUCUAUUUUGAUUAAUUUUUUUAACAUUUAAUUUAUAGUAGUUUUUUUUAUUCUUACAUAGCAUGGACCUAAUAAUGAUCCUAAGAAAUUUUUAAACAAAAUAAAUUUUUUUAUUUAGAAAAAAAUA